This 440-nucleotide ribosomal RNA is filed under the name uncultured bacterium. RNAcentral's name for it is "partial 16S ribosomal RNA". It matches the Rfam family "Bacterial small subunit ribosomal RNA", at positions 338 to 795 of the family's 1533-position model. The record is from RNAcentral.
CCUACGGGAGACAGCAGUAGGGAAUAUUGCUCAAUGGGGGAAACCCUGAAGCAGCAACGCCGCGUGGAGGAUGAAGGUUUUCGGAUUGUAAACUCCUUUUGUUAGAGAAGAUAAUGACGGUAUCUAACGAAUAAGCACCGGCUAACUCCGUGCCAGCAGCCGCGGUUAUACGGAGGGUGCAAGCGUUACUCGGAAUCACUGGGCGACAAGGGGGCGUAGGCGGGAUAGCAAGUCAGAUGUGAAAUUCUAGGGCUUAACCAUAGAACUGCAUUUGAAACUGGUAUUCUAGAGUAUGGGAGAGGUAGGUGGAAUUCUUGGUGUAGGGGUGAAAUCCGUAGAGAUCAAGAAGAAUACUGAUUGCGAAGGCGACCUGCUAGAACAUAACUGACGCUGAUGCGCGAAAGCGUGGGGAGCAAACAGGAUUAGAUACCCCUGUAGUC